GUGGGAGGUUUCAGAAUCAUUCAUGAUAGUAACUAUCAUGUUUUUAUAUUUAGAUGCGAUUUUACAAUCAAUAUUCGGUUUUGUUAAGCAGUAAUAAAACAUUUUUAAUUUAGUGAAUGACAUAUUAAAAGUUGAAUUUAGAAAAGAGGUAAUAAAAGGGAAAGAAAAGAAGAUUAUGAAAAAUUGUGGUGUAUAUGGAUGGGGUUGAGGUGUGGGUUGUGUAUGUGAGGGAGGACCCACAGUAAGAGGGUGUGGACCAUGAGUUGGUGAAGUUGAUAUUAGAAAGAUGAUGGGGUUCACGAGGAGAGUGGACCUUCAUUCUGUGAAGUUCAUCCCCCCUUAGCUUUUCUCCUGCUACCCCAGUCUCGACACACACCCACUCUUUUCUUUUUAUCUCCUUUCCUUAUCUUUCAAAACAUAUAACAUUCCCACAUCAAAAUCUCCUAUUUUAUAACCAUAACCAUGUUUUUAUAGACAUAAUCAUCAAUAAAUGAUGUUUUUUUUUUACCUAAAAGAUGCAUGCUCUCAACCAGAAACAAAUUCUUGCCCAUCCAUCCAUCAGUCCCCACCCAACUUAACAUCCCAGUUCCAGUUUGUCUUUUCGACCAGGUUCGCCUAAGUAUUAUUCCACAAUUUUAACAAAAAUAGAAAACGAAUAAAGAAAAAGCACAUCCAUUGCACUAUCCUCCUUUCCUAUAUAUAUUCAUUUCUAUUGUUUGUCCCAUGAUUUCUUUAUCCACAAUCCUACUGCUUAGAAUGACUAGGAUUCGGCUAAGACUAUGCUCAUUCAUUCAGACAAUUAUUGUCAACCUCACCUACAAUUAUAUACCACAUUACAUCUUCCUAAUACCUAUUGCAUUACCAUCACAUCACUCACAAACACUCUUAUUAUAACUUUCAUUAUUAAUUAUUUUGGUAUUAUAUAUAUAGCUGUGUGUGAGUUGUGGGAAUAAACCAGAGCCAGACAUGCUAUCAACAGGGAAACAGUUUGAAUGAUAGGAUUAUCAAAAAAUAGAAAAUAAGAAAAUUGAAAACCGUGUUCUGGGUGUUACCAUGUACAACAAAAUUCCGUAUUAUUGGGGAAAUAGACUAUGUACGGAAACAGUCCUUGGCCAUUGGAAGGAAUGGACCACAUGCCAA
Molecule: long non-coding RNA, 1140 nt
Filed under: Vigna radiata
Lineage: Eukaryota; Viridiplantae; Streptophyta; Magnoliopsida; Fabales; Fabaceae
Description: long non-coding RNA (VRAD_LNC009207)
Source: RNAcentral